UGUACAUUAUUUCGUACGAGGUUGGAAUUCGUGAUUUUGAAACUGUACGCCUUCCUAAAUCGCAUGUAAUAUAUUUUGCAUUUUUCGAUACAAAUCAUGUAUGUUCGAUAGAUGUUUAGCUUGUAUACAGUUAUUCACCAUUUCAGACUAUAUACUACGUUUCUCAGCAUACGUCUUCUGACUUUUACAAUUAAUUUUGUAGUUUAAUAAUUUACCUAAUAUUGAUCGAUAUCUUGUUGCACUGCAACGGAUAUUAAGCUAUCAGCGUUUUACUUAAUACAAUGUUGUCUGUAAAAUUGUACAAAUUAGUCGACAUUACAUAAAUUUUCUAUCAGCUGAAAACUCCACUGAGAUCUUGCAUCACAAAAAAAUAAGUCUGUAGUAUAAACUUGGCGUCUUUCCGUAAUGAUAUAUACGGUGUAUAUGAUCCUGUAUUGUUUCGAGAAACAUAUGUAUUUAUUGUAAAAUUAGGAACAGGAUGAUAAAUAUGAUACUUGACGAAUAGAUGUGAUCAAACAGAUUUUCGAAAGGAGAAAAAACACAAAAGAAAUAUAAUACUAACUUUCUUCUCUUUUAUAGAAUUUAUACUUUCGCAAUUGAAAGGUAGAUAAGAAUUCUAUUUUUGCGUUCAUUCUUUUAAAGUACCAUAGUUUUGUAUCCUAUACUGAAACGAUGUGAGAUAUUGUAAAUAUUAGCAUAAGGCGAUAGUUAUAUUCGAUGUAUAUUUAACUCUGGAGUUACUGAGAUAGUAUUCUGCUUUCUUGUAGAAAGAAUAAAAGAGAAGAUUAGCUCCCCCUCAGUUUCUGCUUCAGUUAAGAAUGAUUGAAUAUAACUAUAACGUGACUACAACGGGGAAAUGAGUUUUUAAUCAUUCAACGAUCAAUAUCUCUGAAAGAGUAUUAAAAAUAUUUCUCGAUUACGUCUUAAAUUAUAAUAAGGCUUUGUAAAGUGCAUAAGUUUUUUGCGAGAACGUUUGUAUUUUGCCGUUUAUCUAUUUAGAAUGCUAUAAAACGAUAAUUACUUGCGCUAUAUUUCCGUGAAGAAAAAAAACAGAAAUACAUUGCGAAUUUUAUAUCUUAGAAGGAAGAAAAAUGAAAGUGAUACGCUUUUUUGUAUGUACGCAUUAAUUUCUUUGAACCUAAAAUCACGUUACUAUUACGAGCCAACAUCAAUUAUUUUCUAUUACCCACAUUUCUUGAUAAGUAUAAAUUUUGUAUAGGCCGAAUAACAAAGGAAAGAAGUUAUUUUGUAGAUUAUUUUACCCAUGCGAAACGAGUUAAGUAAUAGUAAAAAAAACAAAUUUUACAAUUUUAGCGUGCAUUUCUGUAAAUAAUAAUGCAUAUAGUGUGAUGAUGUUUGGUCAAGGGAAAGCGAAAAAUGUACGAAUUACGUUUGAAAAUAUUUUGUGUCUUACGUACAUACAUGAAAAGGAAAAACGUGAAAAUCACACCACCAUAGAAAUUUGCUAGCUUAGGUUUUUAAUUGCAAAGUGAUAUUCUAAACAGUGAGCUAUUUAUAAUUUAUUACUAGCCGAAUACAGACCGUGAAUAAUAAAGCAAAGUAUGUUGUAAAUAUAAUAUAAGAGAACGAAAUAAAUGAUGUAGUAAAAUAAUUUAAUACCGUAUAAUUAAAAUGAAACAUAUUUUAUUACUUGUGAGGACUUGCUUCUUAUUAAAACCGUCGACAUGUAUAAUAAGAAAAGAUAGAAAAUCGAACCGCUACUUAACCCUAAUUUAUAUCUGAUUAACCAAGGAGGGUUAUUUUAACUCUCAUUAAAUGCAAGAGGACAGCUUAACAAUUCUAAAAAGAGCAACCUACUAAUAAAAUAAGAUAGUCUAAACGCCCACUUAAAGCAAGUCAAUAAUGUGUAAAAUAUACGAAUAUAUAAUACAUGUAGAAGUGACUAUAUUGUUACACUGUAUCCAUUUUUAAAACAAAUUACCCGGCUUGGGAUAUGCCAACAGUUUAAACAUGAUCCAGGUUUCAAAUUUUUUACAUGAAAAUGAUCGAAAUAUAAAUAUAAGGUAACUGCAUUUAAUGUAGAGCGCCUCGAUAUCUCAGAAAAUAAAUAAUAUAUGUAUUACAAUGGAAAAUAUUUGGUUAGUAAUGGUAAAAAAUUCCGUUAAUAGCUGGAUGACAGUUAAAUAUCUGUUCUAGAAAGUUAUUCAUCAAUGUGUUUAGCCGCACGUAAAUGUUUUUGAGAAAAUUAAUUAUUUAAAUUUCUAAGUAAAGAUUGUCAAAAAUAAAGAUGUGACGCUUUUCCCAUGAAACUGCCGAUAUACAUGUUACAUUAUACGUAUAAAUACGAACAAACGCAUUAACACGUUCUGAAAAAAAACAGUACUGUGCAAUCUGUUUAUACUAAUAAAAAUCCCCUUCUCCUGUGACUCCAGCAUGACGGCAUACGCAGUUUAAUACACGAUGGUACAUUGCUAAAAAGACGCAAUUGAGGAAGGCAGAUAUUAACUUCCAUAAAUUCGGUGGUGAUUCGGUCUACGAAAAACUCGCAGUUCAAUUUCUGUUUGUUCUAACAAAGACACUAUAUAA
This is a non-coding RNA of Nomia melanderi (Alkali bee), 2547 nucleotides long. The record is from RefSeq and is a predicted model, not a curated record. Lineage: Eukaryota; Metazoa; Arthropoda; Insecta; Hymenoptera; Halictidae.